RNAcentral lists this ribosomal RNA (253 nucleotides) under uncultured bacterium. RNAcentral's name for it is "partial 16S ribosomal RNA". It matches the Rfam family "Bacterial small subunit ribosomal RNA", at positions 524 to 776 of the family's 1533-position model. The record is from RNAcentral.
UACGUAGGAUGCAAGCGUUGUCCGGAUUUACUGGGCGUAAAGCGCGCGCAGGCGGCAUACCAAGUAUUCAGUGAAAUCUCCCUGCUCAACGGGGAGGGUGCUGAGUAGACUGGUAAGCUAGAGGACGGUAGAGGGGGGUAGAAUUGCUGGUGUAGCGGUGAAAUGCGUAGAGAUCAGGAGGAACACCGGUGGCGAAGGCGGGUCUCUGGGCAAUAACUGACGCUGAGGAGCGAAAGCGUGGGGAGCGAACAGG